This 451-nucleotide ribosomal RNA is filed under the name uncultured bacterium. RNAcentral describes it as "partial 16S ribosomal RNA". It matches the Rfam family "Bacterial small subunit ribosomal RNA", at positions 28 to 507 of the family's 1533-position model. The record is from RNAcentral.
GAUGAACGCUGGCGGCGUGCCUAACACAUGCAAGUCGAGCGGCAGCGAGGGGUGCUUGCACCCUGUCGGCGAGCGGCGGACGGCUGAGUAGCGCGUGGGAACGUGCCCCAAAGUGAGGAAUAACUGCCCGAAAGGGUAGCUAAUACCGCAUAUUAUCUUCGGAUCAAAGGAUUUAUCCGCUUUGGGAGCGGCUCGCGUCGGAUUAGGUAGUUGGUGAGGUAAUGGCUCACCAAGCCGACGAUCCGUAGCUGGUCUGAGAGGAUGACCAGCCAGACUGGAACUGAGACACGGUCCAGACUCCUACGGGAAGCAGCAGUGAGGAAUCUUCCACAAUGGGCGAAAGCCUGAUGGAGCAACGCCGCGUGCAGGACGAAGGCCUUCGGAUUGUAAACUGCUUUUAUAAGUGAGGAAUAUGACGGUAACUUAUGAAUAAGGAUCGGCUAACUACGUG